AAGGAUAUACUUUACAGGAUCAUUUCUGUAGUUAGUCUUCAUUUAAAUUUUUUGGAAAUCGACCCGCGAUGACGAAGUAUAUCGUUUUAUCUGAAAAUACAUGUAAAUGAGGUUUAUGAACUUCAUUUCUAAUAUUGUGUUGUGGCAUAUUAGAAAUGAUGUUUCUUCGAAAAUCGCUCGCUUACAACGGAUAAAACGACUUCUGAGUGGU
Molecule: small nucleolar RNA, 211 nt
Organism: Bactrocera tryoni
Lineage: Eukaryota; Metazoa; Arthropoda; Insecta; Diptera; Tephritidae
Product: small nucleolar RNA U3
Exons: 1
Source: RefSeq, a predicted model, not a curated record